UAGCGGAGAAAUUCCAAACGAACUUGGAGAUAGCUGGUUCUCUCCGAAAUAGCUUUAGGGCUAGCGUCCAACUUGAAUGUAAUGGAGGUAGAGCACUGUUUGGGUGAGGGGUCCAUCCCGGAUUACCAAUCUCAGAUAAACUCCGAAUGCCAUUUACAUGCGUUGGGCAGUCAGACUGUGAGUGCUAAGAUCCAUAGUCGAAAGGGAAACAGCCCAGACCAUCAGCUAAGGUCCCAAAAUAUAUGUUAAGUGGAAAAGGAUGUGGGAUUGCACAGACAACUAGGAUGUUAGCUCAGAAGCAGCUAUCAUUUAAAGAGUGCGUAAUAGCUCACUAGUCGAGUGAUCCUGCGCCGAAAAUGUACCGGGGCUAAAACAUAUUACCGAAGCUAUGGAAUUAAAUUUAUUUAAUUGGUAGGAGAGCGUUCUUAUCAGCGAUGAAGGUAUACCGUGAGGAGUGCUGGAGCGAUAAGAAGUGAGAAUGCCGGUAUGAGUAGCGCAAGACAGGUGAGAAUCCUGUCCACCGUAAGACUAAGGUUUCCAGGGGAAGGCUCGUCCGCCCUGGGUUAGUCGGGACCUAAGGAGAGGCCGAAUGGCGUAUCCGAUGGACAACAGGUUGAUAUUCCUGUACUAGGUUAUAUAGUGAUUGGAGGGACGCAGUAGGCUAAGGUAAGCCAGUUAAUGGAUUCUGGUCUAAGCAGUGAGGUUUGGUAUGAGUCAAAUGCUUGUACCUCUAAGAUUGAGCUGUGAUGGGGAAGCACUUUCGAGUGCGAAGUACCUGAUGUCACACUGCCAAGAAAAUCUUCUAGCGUUUAAUUAUAACCUACCCGUACCGCAAACCGACACAGGUAGUCGAGGCGAGUAGCCUCAGGUGAGCGAGAGAACUCUCGUUAAGGAACUCGGCAAAAUGACCCCGUAACUUCGGGAGAAGGGGUGCUCUACAUUUGUAGAGCCGCAGUGAAUAGGCCCAAGCGACUGUUUAUCAAAAACACAGCUCUCUGCUAAAUCGUAAGAUGAUGUAUAGGGGGUGACGCCUGCCCGGUGCUGGAAGGUUAAGAGGAGUGCUUAGCGUAAGCGAAGGUAUGAAUUGAAGCCCCAGUAAACGGCGGCCGUAACUAUAACGGUCCUAAGGUAGCGAAAUUCCUUGUCGGGUAAGUUCCGACCCGCACGAAAGGCGUAACGAUUUGGGCACUGUCUCAACGAGAGACUCGGUGAAAUUUUAGUACCUGUGAAGAUGCAGGUUACCCGCGACAGGACGGAAAGACCCCAUGGAGCUUUACUGCAAGUUGAUAUUGAGUAUCUGUUGCACAUGUACAGGAUAGGUAGGAGCCAUUGAUCUGAGGACGCUAGUUUUCAGUGAGGCGAUGUUGGGAUACUACCCUUGUGUCAUGGCUACUCUAACCCGCAUGCCUAAUCGGCAUGGGAGACAGUGUCUGCUGGGCAGUUUGACUGGGGCGGUCGCCUCCUAAAGAGUAACGGAGGCGCUCAAAGUUUCCCUCAGCAUGGUUGGAAAUCAUGCGUAGAGUGUAAAGGUAUAAGGGAGAUUGACUGCGAGACUUACAAGUCGAGCAGGUACGAAAGUAGGACUUAGUGAUCCGGUGGUACCGCAUGGAAGGGCCAUCGCUCAACGGAUAAAAGCUACCCUGGGGAUAACAGGCUUAUCUCCCCCAAGAGUUCACAUCGACGGGGAGGUUUGGCACCUCGAUGUCGGCUCGUCGCAUCCUGGGGCUGUAGUCGGUCCCAAGGGUUGGGCUGUUCGCCCAUUAAAGCGGCACGCGAGCUGGGUUCAGAACGUCGUGAGACAGUUCGGUCCCUAUCCGUCGCGGGCGUAGGAAAUUUGAGAGGAUCUGCUCUUAGUACGAGAGGACCGGGGUGGACUUACCGCUGGUGUACCAGUUGUCUUGCCAAAGGCAUCGCUGGGUAGCUAUGUAGGGAACGGAUAAACGCUGAAAGCAUCUAAGUGUGAAACCAACCUCAAGAUGAGAUUUCCCAUUCUUUAUGAAUUAAGAGCCCUGAGAGAUGAUCAGGUAGAUAGGCUAGAAGUGGAAGGACAGUGAUGUUUGGAGCGGACUAGUACUAAUAGCUCGAGGACUUUACCUA
RNAcentral lists this ribosomal RNA (2097 nucleotides) under wastewater metagenome. RNAcentral's name for it is "bacterial LSU rRNA". It matches the Rfam family "Bacterial large subunit ribosomal RNA", at positions 816 to 2925 of the family's 2925-position model. The record is from RNAcentral.